RNAcentral lists this ribosomal RNA (727 nucleotides) under Bacillus sp. (in: firmicutes). RNAcentral's name for it is "bacterial SSU rRNA". It matches the Rfam family "Bacterial small subunit ribosomal RNA", at positions 58 to 765 of the family's 1533-position model. Lineage: Bacteria; Bacillati; Bacillota; Bacilli; Caryophanales; Bacillaceae. The record is from RNAcentral.
CAAGUCGAGCGAAUGGAUUAAGAGCUUGCUCUUAUGAAGUUAGCGGCGGACGGGUGAGUAACACGUGGGUAACCUACCCAUAAGACUGGGAUAACUCCGGGAAACCGGGGCUAAUACCGGAUAAUAUUUUGAACUGCAUAGUUCGAAAUUGAAAGGCGGCUUCGGCUGUCACUUAUGGAUGGACCCGCGUCGCAUUAGCUAGUUGGUGAGGUAACGGCUCACCAAGGCGACGAUGCGUAGCCGACCUGAGAGGGUGAUCGGCCACACUGGGACUGAGACACGGCCCAGACUCCUACGGGAGGCAGCAGUAGGGAAUCUUCCGCAAUGGACGAAAGUCUGACGGAGCAACGCCGCGUGAGUGAUGAAGGCUUUCGGGUCGUAAAACUCUGUUGUUAGGGAAGAACAAGUGCUAGUUGAAUAAGCUGGCACCUUGACGGUACCUAACCAGAAAGCCACGGCUAACUACGUGCCAGCAGCCGCGGUAAUACGUAGGUGGCAAGCGUUAUCCGGAAUUAUUGGGCGUAAAGCGCGCGCAGGUGGUUUCUUAAGUCUGAUGUGAAAGCCCACGGCUCAACCGUGGAGGGUCAUUGGAAACUGGGAGACUUGAGUGCAGAAGAGGAAAGUGGAAUUCCAUGUGUAGCGGUGAAAUGCGUAGAGAUAUGGAGGAACACCAGUGGCGAAGGCGACUUUCUGGUCUGUAACUGACACUGAGGCGCGAAAGCGUGGG